Molecule: ribosomal RNA, 253 nt
Filed under: uncultured bacterium
Lineage: Bacteria
Description: partial 16S ribosomal RNA
Rfam family: Bacterial small subunit ribosomal RNA
Source: RNAcentral
UACGUAGGGGGCUAGCGUUGUCCGGAUUUAUUGGGCGUAAAGAGCGUGUAGGCGGCCAGGUAGGUCUGGUGUGAAAACUCGAGGCUUAACCUCGAGAUGUCAUCGGAAACCAUCUGGCUAGAGUCCGGAAGAGGAGAGUGGAAUUCCUGGUGUAGCGGUGGAAUGCGCAGAUAUCAGGAGGAACACCGGUGGCGAGGGCGGGUCUCUGGGCCGAUACUGACGCUGAGGAGCGAAAGCGUGGGGAGCGAACAGG